Molecule: ribosomal RNA, 866 nt
Filed under: Punctelia rudecta
Lineage: Eukaryota; Fungi; Ascomycota; Lecanoromycetes; Lecanorales; Parmeliaceae
Description: SSU rRNA
Rfam family: Bacterial small subunit ribosomal RNA
Source: RNAcentral
UGUGUCCCGGUCGCUACUUGCAUCAUUGUACAGAUGAUGCAAGAUCGACUAUGUCGAAUAAAAUUCUAGGUAGAAUUAUGAUAAUGACAUUGUCUGCCUAUGUGUCUUGACCAAAUUACGUGCCAGCAGUCGCGGUAAUACGUAGAAGACUAGUGUUAUUCAUGUUUAAUCGGUUUAAAGGGUACCUAGACGGUAGAUCAAGCUUUUACAUAUAAAUUAUGUUAAUUAAAGGACUAAUUUGCUAGAGUUACUUACGAGGGGGUAUUAAAGUACUGCUGGUGUAGAGAUGAAAUUCUGUCAUACCUCUUUUCGAAAGAAAAAUCAUGGCACAGGUAUAGGCGAAGGCAUCCCCUUAUGUGAUAACUGACGUUGAGGGACGAAGGCUUUGUGUAACAAACAGGAUUAGAUACCCUAGUAGUUGAAGCAGAAAAUGAUGAAUGUCAUAGAUUAGAUAUAUAAGUUUAUUCUAUAAAUGAAAGUGUAAGCAUUCCACCUCAGGAGUAAUUUGGCAACAUUGGAAUUGAAAUCAUUAGACCGUUUCUGAAACCAGUAGUGAAGUAUGUUGUUUAAUUUGAUGAUCCGCAAAAAACCUUACCACAAUUUGAAUAUUUAUAUUUUUUUUUAUUGUUUUCUUCUUAAUUUUCUUCUAAUAACAUAUUCAACAUGUAAAAAGAAGAAAGUUAAUAAAGAGGCAAUAAUAUAUAUUUACAAGCGUUGCACGGCUGUCUUCAGUUAAUGUCGCGAGACUUUGGUUAGUUCCAUUAAAUUAACGUAAACCCUUACUUUAUUUUUAUAUAGAGUAGUUCCCCGCUAUAUUGGAUAUGAUAACAGGGACUAAGACAAGUCAUCAUGGCCUAAAUAUUGUG